UGGGGAAUAUUACACAAUGGAGGAAACUCUGAUGUAGCAACGCCGCGUGGAGGAUGACACAUUUCGGUGCGUAAACUCCUUUUAUGUGAGAAGAUAAUGACGGUAUCACAUGAAUAAGCACCGGCUAACUCCGUGCCAGCAGCCGCGGUAAUACGGAGGGUGCAAGCGUUACUCGGAAUCACUGGGCGUAAAGCGCGCGCAGGCGGCUUUGAAGUUGGAUGUGAAAUCCUAUGGCUCAACCAUAGAACUGCAUCCAAAACUCUUAGCUAGAGUCUGGGAGGGGAAGAUGGAAUUAGUGGUGUAGGGGUAAAAUCCGUAGAGAUCACUAGGAAUACCAAAAGCGAAGGCGAUCUUCUGGAACAGUACUGACGCUGAGGCGCGAAAGCGUGGGGAGCGAAAC
Molecule: ribosomal RNA, 400 nt
Filed under: uncultured bacterium
Lineage: Bacteria
Description: bacterial SSU rRNA
Rfam family: Bacterial small subunit ribosomal RNA
Source: RNAcentral